Molecule: ribosomal RNA, 442 nt
Filed under: uncultured Prevotella sp.
Lineage: Bacteria; Pseudomonadati; Bacteroidota; Bacteroidia; Bacteroidales; Prevotellaceae
Description: bacterial SSU rRNA
Rfam family: Bacterial small subunit ribosomal RNA
Source: RNAcentral
UGAGGAAUAUUGGUCAAUGGGCGGAAGCCUGAACCAGCCAAGUAGCGUGCAGGAAGACGGCCCUAUGGGUUGUAAACUGCUUUCAGUCGGGAAUAACUCGUCGGUCGUGACCGACGUUGCAGGUACCGUCAUAAGAAGGACCGGCUAAUUCCGUGCCAGCAGCCGCGGUAAUACGGAAGGUCCGGGCGUUAUCCGGAUUUAUUGGGUUUAAAGGGAGCGUAGGUGGACUGUCAAGUCAGUCGUGAAAUCCGCGGGCUCAACCUGCGGCCUGCAGUUGAAACUGGCGGUCUUGAGUGUGUACGACGCUGGCGGAAUUCGUGGUGUAGCGGUGAAAUGCUUAGAUAUCACGAAGAACUCCGAUUGCGAAGGCAGCUGGCGAGAGCACAACUGACGCUGAAGCUCGAAAGUGCGGGUAUCGAACAGGAUUAGAUACCCUGGUAGU